UGCCUGCAGAAGUUUCCGAAAACAUUGGUUUGGUGCAGAUUUGUCCGGUCUUACCUAACACUUCAUGCAGAUGGAAAGCAGACCACGAGGAAAGCGUGUCCAAGAGUCGGAAAGUGUACUUACCAGGGAAAUUGGACCCUCGACUCCCAAACGAAACAAAAAUAUUAGAAAACGUUUGUUUCACAGUAUGAAUACCCUGACACCUAAAUGUAGAAAAAUUUAUAAAAUGUAUCGACUGUCCAAGAAGCAGUUAGAUUUUAAUAAAAGAGCAAAAAGG
This is a long non-coding RNA of Hyposmocoma kahamanoa, 277 nucleotides long. RefSeq lists it as uncharacterized. NCBI's taxonomy places the organism in Eukaryota, Metazoa, Arthropoda, Insecta, Lepidoptera, Cosmopterigidae. The transcript is spliced from 3 exons. The record is from RefSeq and is a predicted model, not a curated record.